AGAGUUUGAUCAUGGCUCAGAACGAACGCUGGCGGCGUGAUAAGACAUGCAAGUCGAGCGGGACAUUUCGGGUAGCAAUAUUCGAGAUGUUCAGCGGCGCAAGGGUGCGUAACACGUGGGCAACCUGCCUUGAAGUGGGGAAUAACUCCGAGAAAUCGGAGCUAAUACCGCAUGUGAUGUUCCGGAGGCAUCUCUGGAACCUCGAAGCUGGGGAUCGAAAGACCUGGCGCUUCAAGAUGGGCCCGCGGCCUAUCAGCUAGUUGGUGGGGUAACGGCUCACCAAGGCUAAGACGGGUAGCUGGUCUGAGAGGACGACCAGCCACACUGGAACUGAGACACGGUCCAGACACCUACGGGUGGCAGCAGUCGAGAAUUUUUCUCAAUGGGCGCAAGCCUGAAGGAGCGACGCCGCGUGGGGGAUGAAGGGCUUCGGCUCGUAAACCCCUGUCAUUUGCGAACAAACCUCAUUAUUUAAAAGAUGAUGAGCUGAUUGUAGCGAAAGAGGAAGGGACGGCUAACUCUGUGCCAGCAGCCGCGGUAAUACAGAGGUCCCAAGCGUUGUUCGGAUUCACUGGGCGUAAAGGGUGCGUAGGCGGUCGGGUAAGUCCGAUGUGAAAUCUCCGAGCUUAACUCGGAAACGGCGUCGGAUACUAUUCGGCUAGAGGAUUGGAAGGGGGACUGGAAUUCCCGGCGUAGCAGUGAAAUGCGUAGAUAUCGGGAGGAACACCAGUGGCGAAGGCGAGUCCCUGGACAAUACCUGACGCUGAGGCACGAAAGCUAGGGGAGCAAACAGGAUUAGAUACCCUAGUAGUCC
RNAcentral lists this ribosomal RNA (814 nucleotides) under uncultured bacterium. RNAcentral describes it as "bacterial SSU rRNA". It matches the Rfam family "Bacterial small subunit ribosomal RNA", at positions 8 to 796 of the family's 1533-position model. The record is from RNAcentral.